This is a non-coding RNA of Hordeum vulgare subsp. vulgare (domesticated barley), 136 nucleotides long. The record is from Rfam. NCBI's taxonomy places the organism in Eukaryota, Viridiplantae, Streptophyta, Magnoliopsida, Poales, Poaceae.
AUCAUACUCCCUUCGUCCCCAAAUUCUUGUCUUAGGGCUGUCUAGAUAUGAAUGUAUCUAGUCACGUUUUAGUAUUUUGAUACAUACAUUUCUAAACAAACCUAAGUAUAGAAUUUUGGGACGGAGGAAGUAUAUG